GUGGGGAAUUGUUCGCAAUGGGCGCAAGCCUGACGACGCAACGCCGCGUGGAGGAUGAAGAUCUUCGGAUCGUAAACUCCUGUCGAGCGGGACGAACGGCCCGCGACCUAAUACGUCGCGGGAGUGACGGUACCGCUAAAGGAAGCCCCGGCUAACUCCGUGCCAGCAGCCGCGGUAAUACGGGGGGGGCAAGCGUUGUUCGGAAUUACUGGGCGUAAAGGGCUCGUAGGCGGCCAACUAAGUCGGACGUGAAAUCCCUCGGCUCAACCGGGGAACUGCGUCCGAUACUGGAUGGCUUGAAUUCGGGAGAGGGAUGCGGAAUUCCAGGUGUAGCGGUGAAAUGCGUAGAUAUCUGGAGGAACACCGGUGGCGAAGGCGGCAUCCUGGACCGAUAUUGACGCUGAGGAGCGAAAGCCAGGGUAGCAAACGGGAUUAGAAACCCUAGUAGUCC
This 451-nucleotide ribosomal RNA is filed under the name uncultured bacterium. RNAcentral's name for it is "bacterial SSU rRNA". It matches the Rfam family "Bacterial small subunit ribosomal RNA", at positions 354 to 796 of the family's 1533-position model. The record is from RNAcentral.